AUGGGUGCAGCAGGCGCGAAAACUACGCAAUGCGCGAAAGCGUGACGUGGGAACUCCAAGUGCCUGCAUAGGGUAAGGCUUUUGUUUAGUGUAAGUAGCUAAACGAAUAAGUGCUGGGCAAGACCGGUGCCAGCCGCCGCGGUAACACCGGCAGCGCAAGUGGUGACCGCUUUUAUUGGGCCUAAAGCGUUCGUAGCCGGUUUGGUAAGUCUUUGGGUAAAUCCUUCGGCUUAACCGAAGGAAUUCCGAAGAUACUGCCAGACUUGGAGUUGAGAGAGGUCAGAGGUACCUCUGGGGUAGGGGUGAAAUCCUAUAAUCCUGGGGGGACCACCAGUGGCGAAGGCGUCUGACUAGAGCAAGCUCGACGGUGAGGGACGAAAGCCAGGGGCGCGAACGGGAUUAGAUACCCCGGUAGUCCUGGCCGUAAACGCUGCGCGCUAGGUGUUGCAUGCUCUACGAGGGCGUGCAGUGCCGAAGAGAAGUUGAUAAGCGUGCCGCCUGGGAAGUAUUACCGCAAGGUAGAAACUUAAAGGAAUUGGCGGGGGAGCACCACAAGGGGUGGAGUCUGCGGUUCAAUUGGAUUCAACGCCGGGAAACUCACCGGGAGCGACGGCAGAAUGAUAGCCAAGCUGAUGACUUUGCUUGACGAGCCGAGAAGUAGUGCAUGG
Molecule: ribosomal RNA, 668 nt
Filed under: uncultured euryarchaeote
Lineage: Archaea; Methanobacteriati; Methanobacteriota
Description: bacterial SSU rRNA
Rfam family: Archaeal small subunit ribosomal RNA
Source: RNAcentral